UAACUACCUCGUAAAUAGGAGCAUACUUUUCACAGCACUCCAGUUCGAAUUUUUACUGCUAUGCAUAGUGUACGGGUACAAUAGAUGAACAUGGGCAUACACAUGUGUUUCAAUUCACUGGGCGCUCUCUGUCGAGAAUCAGAGAGUAUAACCGUGUCUAAAAUUGUUGUCAAUAGAAGCUGAAUAGUGCGUGAGACAAGGAAGUCGAAUAUCUCCACAACUGUUUUGUCCCGAGUUAUGUUCCACGCAGGUUGUGAAUAAAUAUCGGCUUGACUCAUACAAGUAUGGCUGAUAACGGUCCUGUCAUAAAUUUGUAAUGCAUCAUAUUUACGACUCUAUGGUGGACGCGACAUUGGUGAUAUUGUAUUUCAAUGUAACCCUUUCCUGUAAUGGAGCUUGGGACAUUGUCGUACAUGAAGUGUUUAUGUUGCAGCAAAUUGUGGGAAAUGUAUGUUUACCUAGCCGAUGGGAUAUUUAUGUAUCUGUACUAUACCUGUUUAAUUUGAUGUAUCCGUAAUACAGGUUAUCAUAUAUAUUGCAUAUCUAUGAUGUAUUUGUAGGCAUAUUAUAUUAUCUUUGUUGCAAAUUAUCAUAUACAAUGUAUUCUCACUGUAACGGAUCUUCUAUAUUCAUGUAUACUGUAGUUGAAUAUACUGUAGUUGAUAAUACAUGAUGUAUCUGUACUGAGACUAAUCUUAUAUACUGAAUGCAUAUCGUAUCCUUGCUGUAACUUAUCUAUUAACACUGUAGCUGAUUACAUUGUAAUUGAUCAUAUAUACUGUAUUUAUACUGAGAUUGAUCAUAUAUACUGAUGGGUCACCGCAUCCCCACUGUAACUGAUAAUCGUAUAUACUGCAGCUGAUUAUACUCUGGUUGAGCAUAUAUAAUGUAUCUAUACUGAGACUAAUCUUAUGUACUGAAUGUAUAUACUCGUGUGUCUUUGUUUAUUGUGAUGGAUUUACAUGUGAAGUGCUCCUAUCCUGUCAUGGAUUUACAUGUGAAGUGCUCCUAUCCUGUCAUGGAUUUACAUGUGAAAUGCUCCUAUACUGUCAUGGAUUUACAUGUGAACUGCUCCUAUACUGUCAUGGAUUUACAUGUGAACGUUUCUAUUCUGUAUUGGACGUUCAUGUGAAAUGCUUCUAUACUUAAAUGGCUUUUCAUGUGAACGUUCCUCUAAUGUGACCUUUUGUAGUCAAAUGUCAUGUGAAAUGCUUCUAUACUGUCAUGGAUUUUCAUGUACAAUAUCUAUAAUGUAAGCUUUUGUAACCGAAUGUCGUGUGAAAUGCUUAAAACUGUCAUGGAUUUUCAUGUAAAAUGCUUAAAACUGUCAUGUAUCUUCAUGUGAAAUGUUUCUAUAAUGUGACCUAAUGUUACUGAAUGCCAUAUGAAAUGCUUCAAUACUAUCAUGUAUCUUCAUGUGAAAUGUUUCUAUAAUGUGACCUAUUAAUGCUGAAUGCCAUAUGAAAUGCUUCAAUACUAUCAUGUAUCUUCAUGUGAAAUGUUUUUAUAAUGUGACCUAUUGUUACUGAAUGCCAUAUGAAAUGCUUCAAUACUAUCAUGGAUUUUCAUGUGAAAUGUUUCUAUAAUGUGACCUAUUGUAGCCGAAUGUCAUAUGAAAUGCUUCUAUACUAUCACGGAUUUUCGUGUGAAAUGCUUCUAUACAAUCGUGCAUUUUCAUGUGAAAUGCUUCUAUACAAUCGUGGAUAUUAAUGUGAAAUGCUUCUAUACAAUCGUGGAUUUUCAUGUGAAAUGCUUCUAUACAAUCGUGGAUUUUCAUGUGAUAUGCUUCUAUACUAUCACGGAUUUUCAUGUGAAAUGUUUCUUUGCUGUAACCAAUUUUCAUAUGAUUGAAUGUUCAUAUAAUAAACUGUAAGCAUAUGUCGUA
Haliotis rubra (blacklip abalone) is the source of this 1885-nucleotide long non-coding RNA. RefSeq lists it as uncharacterized. The transcript has 2 exons. The record is from RefSeq and is a predicted model, not a curated record. Lineage: Eukaryota; Metazoa; Mollusca; Gastropoda; Lepetellida; Haliotidae.